Molecule: ribosomal RNA, 765 nt
Filed under: uncultured Streptococcus sp.
Lineage: Bacteria; Bacillati; Bacillota; Bacilli; Lactobacillales; Streptococcaceae
Description: bacterial SSU rRNA
Rfam family: Bacterial small subunit ribosomal RNA
Source: RNAcentral
GAUGAACGCUGGCGGCGUGCCUAAUACAUGCAAGUAGAACGCUGAAGCUUGGUGCUUGCACCGAGCGGAUGAGUUGCGAACGGGUGAGUAACGCGUAGGUAACCUGCCUCUUAGCGGGGGAUAACUAUUGGAAACGAUAGCUAAUACCGCAUAAAAGUCGACAUUGCAUGAUAUUGACUUGAAAGGUGCAAUUGCAUCACUAAGAGAUGGACCUGCGUUGUAUUAGCUAGUUGGUGAGGUAACGGCUCACCAAGGCGACGAUACAUAGCCGACCUGAGAGGGUGAUCGGCCACACUGGGACUGAGACACGGCCCAGACUCCUACGGGAGGCAGCAGUAGGGAAUCUUCGGCAAUGGGGGCAACCCUGACCGAGCAACGCCGCGUGAGUGAAGAAGGUUUUCGGAUCGUAAAGCUCUGUUGUAAGAGAAGAACGAGUGUGAGAGUGGAAAGUUCACACUGUGACGGUAACUUACCAGAAAGGGACGGCUAACUACGUGCCAGCAGCCGCGGUAAUACGUAGGUCCCGAGCGUUAUCCGGAUUUAUUGGGCGUAAAGCGAGCGCAGGCGGUUAGAUAAGUCUGAAGUUAAAGGCUGUGGCUUAACCAUAGUACGCUUUGGAAACUGUUUAACUUGAGUGCAGAAGGGGAGAGUGGAAUUCCAUGUGUAGCGGUGAAAUGCGUAGAUAUAUGGAGGAACACCGGUGGCGAAAGCGGCUCUCUGGUCUGUAACUGACGCUGAGGCUCGAAAGCGUGGGGAGCAAACAGG